RNAcentral lists this non-coding RNA (148 nucleotides) under Gorilla gorilla gorilla (western lowland gorilla). Lineage: Eukaryota; Metazoa; Chordata; Mammalia; Primates; Hominidae. The record is from Rfam by way of RNAcentral.
GCCAGGCAUAGUGGCGCAUGCCUGUAAUCCCAGCUACUCGGGAGGCUGAGGCAUGAGAAUUGCUUGAACCCAGGAGGUAGAGGCUGCAGUGAGCCGAGAUUGCACCACUGCACUCCAUCCUGGGGGACAGAGUGAGACCCUGUCUCAA